UACGUAGGGGCCUAGCGUUGUCCGGAUUCAUUGGGCGUAAAGGGUGCGUAGGCGGCGCGGUAAGUCGGGUGUGAAAUCUCGGGGCUUAACUCCGAAACUGCAUUCGAUACUGCCGUGCUUGAGGACUGGAGAGGAGACUGGAAUUUACGGUGUAGCGGUGAAAUGCGUAGAUAUCGUAAGGAAGACCAGUGGCGAAGGCGGGUCUCUGGACAGUUCCUGACGCUGAGGCACGAAGGUCAGGGGAGCAAACGGG
This 253-nucleotide ribosomal RNA is filed under the name uncultured bacterium. Its description in RNAcentral is "partial 16S ribosomal RNA". It matches the Rfam family "Bacterial small subunit ribosomal RNA", at positions 524 to 776 of the family's 1533-position model. The record is from RNAcentral.